Molecule: ribosomal RNA, 460 nt
Filed under: uncultured bacterium
Lineage: Bacteria
Description: partial 16S ribosomal RNA
Rfam family: Bacterial small subunit ribosomal RNA
Source: RNAcentral
CCUACGGGAGGCAGCAGUGAGGAAUAUUGGUCAAUGGGCGCUAGCCUGAACCAGCCAAGUAGCGUGAAGGAUGACUGCCCUAUGGGUUGUAAACUUCUUUUAUAUGGGAAUAAAGUGCAGUAUGUAUACUGCUUUGCAUGUACCUUAUGAAUAAGGAUCGGCUAACUCCGUGCCAGCAGCCGCGGUAAUACGGAGGAUUCGAGCGUUAUCCGGAUUUAUUGGGUUUAAAGGGAGCGUAGGCGGGUUGUUAAGUCAGUUGUGAAAGUUUGCGGCUCAACCGUAAAAUUGCAGUUGAUACUGGCAUCCUUGAGUACAGUAGAGGUAGGCGGAAUUCGUGGUGUAGCGGUGAAAUGCAUAGAUAUCGCGCAGAACCCCGAGUGCGAAGGCAGCGUGCCGUGCCGCCACUGACGCUGAGGCACGAAAGCGCGGGGAUCGAACAGGAUUAGAUACCCGGGUAGUC